GCAUAAGCCAGCUUGACUGCGAGCGUGACGGCGCGAGCAGGUGCGAAAGCAGGUCAUAGUGAUCCGGUGGUUCUGAAUGGAAGGGCCAUCGCUCAACGGAUAAAAGGUACUCCGGGGAUAACAGGCUGAUACCGCCCAAGAGUUCAUAUCGACGGCGGUGUUUGGCACCUCGAUGUCGGCUCAUCACAUCCUGGGGCUGAAGUAGGUCCCAAGGGUAUGGCUGUUCGCCAUUUAAAGUGGUACGCGAGCUGGGUUUAGAACGUCGUGAGACAGUUCGGUCCCUAUCUGCCGUGGGCGCUGGAGAACUGAGGGGGGCUGCUCCUAGUACGAGAGGACCGGAGUGGACGCAUCACUGGUGUUCGGGUUGUCAUGCCAAUGGCACUGCCCGGUAGCUAAAUGCGGAAGAGAUAAGUGCUGAAAGCAUCUAAGCACGAAACUUGCCCCGAG
RNAcentral lists this ribosomal RNA (447 nucleotides) under Salmonella enterica subsp. enterica serovar Oranienburg. RNAcentral describes it as "partial 23S ribosomal RNA". It matches the Rfam family "Bacterial large subunit ribosomal RNA", at positions 2357 to 2803 of the family's 2925-position model. RNAcentral also lists the same sequence under 1 other name. Lineage: Bacteria; Pseudomonadati; Pseudomonadota; Gammaproteobacteria; Enterobacterales; Enterobacteriaceae. The record is from RNAcentral.